UGCCCCAUGGCUGAGUUGGUUACAGCGUCCGACUGUUAGGAACUUGUUCCAAGCUUAUCGGAAGGUCGUGAGUUCAACCCUCACUGGGGCAG
RNAcentral lists this transfer RNA (92 nucleotides) under Coprinopsis marcescibilis. Its description in RNAcentral is "tRNA-Asn". The record is from RNAcentral. Lineage: Eukaryota; Fungi; Basidiomycota; Agaricomycetes; Agaricales; Psathyrellaceae.